CCUUCGUUAACGUCCCUUCCCCUCAGCGAGAUGCAUGUGAACUCUGGCUUCUUCGGCUCUUCAGAUCUCAGAUCUGGCCGUGUAGUGCGGUUUCCGAGCUUCUGGAGUCACAGCGAGUUGAGUCAGGAAGGUGUCGUUGUCGGAGGUCGGCUUUUAGGGUUGGAUUUUGGAUGGAGCUAUUUUCCCCUUGUCGCUCCGUGUACCUCCGUAGAUGUCUAAUCUGUGCCGUCG
Molecule: long non-coding RNA, 231 nt
Filed under: Brassica napus (rape)
Lineage: Eukaryota; Viridiplantae; Streptophyta; Magnoliopsida; Brassicales; Brassicaceae
Description: long non-coding RNA (BNAP_LNC020013)
Source: RNAcentral